This 820-nucleotide ribosomal RNA is filed under the name uncultured Pseudomonadota bacterium. Its description in RNAcentral is "bacterial SSU rRNA". It matches the Rfam family "Bacterial small subunit ribosomal RNA", at positions 73 to 896 of the family's 1533-position model. Lineage: Bacteria; Pseudomonadati; Pseudomonadota. The record is from RNAcentral.
CCUGUAGCAAUACAGGUGGCGCACGGCGCACGGGUGCGUAACACGUGGGUAAUCUGCCCUCUGAUGGGGAAUAACUCGCCGAAAGGCGAGCUAAUUCCGCAUAACAUUCCGGGGACUUUGGUUCUUGGAUUCAAAGGCGUAAGUCGUCGGAGGAGGAGCCCGCGCACGAUUAGCUAGUUGGUGAGGUAAUGGCUCACCAAGGCUAUGAUCGUUAGCUGGUCUGAGAGGAUGGCCAGCCACACUGGAACUGAGACACGGUCCAGACUCCUACGGGAGGCAGCAGUGGGGAAUCUUGCACAAUGGGCGAAAGCCUGAUGCAGCGACGCCGCGUGGGGGAUGAAGCUUCUCGGAGUGUAAACCCCUUUCGACCCGGACGAAUACCUCGCAAGAGGGGUGACGGUACGGGUAUAAGAAGCCCCGGCUAACUACGUGCCAGCAGCCGCGGUAAGACGUAGGGGGCCAGCGUUGUUCGGAAUUACUGGGUGUAAAGGGUUCGUAGGCGGUGUGGCAAGUCGGGAGUGAAAUCUCUGGGCUCAACUCAGAGACUGCUUCCGAAACUGCUGUGCUUGAGUGUGGGAGAGGCGCGUGGAAUUGCAGGUGUAGCGGUGAAAUGCGUAGAUAUCUGCAGGAACACCCGUGGCGAAAGCGGCGCGCUGGACCACUACUGACGCUGAGGAACGAAAGCUAGGGGAGCAAACAGGAUUAGAUACCCUGGUAGUCCUAGCCCUAAACGAUCAGGACUUGGGGUGCCACCCGUUCGGGUGUCGUCCCGGAGCUAACGCGUUAAGUCCUGCACCUGGGGAGUACGGUCGCAAGACUG